Long non-coding RNA from Fukomys damarensis (Damara mole-rat), 528 nucleotides. RefSeq lists it as uncharacterized. Lineage: Eukaryota; Metazoa; Chordata; Mammalia; Rodentia; Bathyergidae. The record is from RefSeq and is a predicted model, not a curated record. The transcript has 3 exons.
CGACGCCGACGCUAAACGCUGCAGACCUGUCGCUGUACUCUGUCCACACCCAGAGAAGGCGCAGCGUCAGGACUGAGCUCUCAUGUGAGGUAGCAGCUGUGGAUGCUCGCGCGCGGGAGUGCCAGGCCGCUGAGUGGACCAAGGGCACCGCCCUGGAAUGAGGGCCUCACCUGUGUCAGAACAUUAAAGAUGCCCAGUAAAUCUCAGUGAGCAUAAGAAGAUGCCAAGAUUCCAGGAGAUCCAUAAUACGAUGCUCUGAUCAUAAUACGAUGACCUUCUCCGCGACCGCCGCACAUGCUCGGGAUGCGUCUCGACUGCCUGGUGCUUCGUGUCCCUCGUUGUUCACGGUGCCAUACGGUAGAGAAUUCCAGUGGAGCAGAAGGCCGCUCCUGAGACUUCAUCUUAGUCAAACAGUAAUAAGUUGGAGGGAGCGGCGGAGGAGGGGCACUCGAGCCCCCCACAUGCCACGGUAUUUAAUUAUCCACAAACCUGCCCUUUAGAGCCUGCAGGAGCCUCAGGGAAAACUGU